UCGAGCGAUACUCGUCCUAGAUGCGUACGGAUGCAGGCAUGGCGACUAUGCACACUCGACGCAGCUGACUGCAGCCAUGCUGAGAUGUACGCACGGACGUCCGUACAGGAUACGUUAUAGUACGUGUCAGGCGGGGAGGAUGGCUGUUGAUGCUCAUCACCUUCACGAUUGACGCUACCGCAAGAACGAAGCACGGCUAACUCCGUGCAGCAGCCGCGGUAAUACGGAGGGUGCUAGCGUUGAAUCGGAAUUACUGGGCGUAAAGCGCACGCAGGCGGUCUGUCAAGUCAGAUGUGAAAUCCCCGGGCUUAACUGGGAACUGCAUUUGAAACUGGCAGGCUAGAGUCUUGUAGAGGGGGGUAGAAUUCCAGGUGUAGCGGUGAAAUGCGUAGAGAUCUGGAGGAAUACCGGUGGCGAAGGCGGCCCCCUGGACAAAGACUGACGCUCAGGUGCGAAAGCGUGGGGAGCAAACAGGAUUAGAUACCCUGGUAGUCCACGCCGUAAACGAUGUCGACUUGGAGGUUGUGCCCUUGAGGCGUGGCUUCCGGAGCUAACGCGUUAAGUCGACCGCCUGGGGAGUACGGCCGCAAGGUUAAAACUCAAAUGAAUUGACGGGGGCCCGCACAAGCGGUGGAGCAUGUGGUUUAAUUCGAUGCAACGCGAAGAACCUUACCUGGCCUUGACAUCCACGGAAUUCGGCAGAGAUGCCUUAGUGCCUUCGGGAACCGUGAGACAGGUGCUGCAUGGCUGUCGUCAGCUCGUGUUGUGAAAUGUUGGGUUAAGUCCCGCAACGAGCGCAACCCUUAUCCUUUGUUGCCAGCGCGUGAUGGCGGGAACUCAAAGGAGACUGCCGGUGACAAACCGGAGGAAGGUGGGGAUGACGUCAAGUCAUCAUGGCCCUUACGGCCAGGGCUACACACGUGCUACAAUGGCGCAUACAAAGAGAAGCGACCUCGCGAGAGCAAGCGGACCUCAUAAAGUGCGUCGUAGUCCGGAUCGGAGUCUGCAACUCGACUCCGUGAAGUCGGAAUCGCUAGUAAUCGUGGAUCAGAACGCCACGGUGAAUACGUUCCCGGGCCUUGUACUACACCGCCCGUCACACCAUGGGAGUGGGUUGCAAAAGAAGUAUCAGAUGGACGUUAUGACCAUGGCUCGUGAUGAAACGCGUCGCUAACGCC
This 1178-nucleotide ribosomal RNA is filed under the name Erwinia billingiae. RNAcentral's name for it is "bacterial SSU rRNA". It matches the Rfam family "Bacterial small subunit ribosomal RNA", at positions 315 to 1475 of the family's 1533-position model. The record is from RNAcentral. Lineage: Bacteria; Pseudomonadati; Pseudomonadota; Gammaproteobacteria; Enterobacterales; Erwiniaceae.